GAAUACUAAGUAAAAAAUCAGUA
Molecule: microRNA, 23 nt
Filed under: Homo sapiens (human)
Lineage: Eukaryota; Metazoa; Chordata; Mammalia; Primates; Hominidae
Description: hsa-miR-8084
Source: miRBase by way of RNAcentral